AUUAUGCCUUCCAGCUUCUUUUAGCAUGACUUCUACUAACUUUUAAAAAGUGUGGUUUACCACACUCAGAGCAUUCAGGUCUGGGGGAUCUAAAAUGAACACACACUGACUUCAUGCAUGCUCACACAGACAUCCCACUUUAUUCGUGCAGAGCAGAAGUAUUUAUACACAUUGAUAACAGCAGUGCGUGCACAGUUUCUACUGGUGCAGGGGCCAGACAGAUAGACAAAAACACGCACAAUGAAAAUAAGUCUUUUCAAGAAACAGAAAAUACAUGGCAGUUGAUGAGCUCAUUUAAAGAGGUGAUUAAAUGUAUACAUUCAUUUACAUAAGAUUCCAAAAGGGAGAACUGUGGGUCCAGACGGAGAUGCUGCGUCAGCGUCAGCACUACAGGACAUGAAACAGGUCAAACUGGAAGAGCUCGUUCAAUACGUGCGAAGUGUUCCGUCUAAGAGGAAAACACCAAGCUCCAAACUCCAGACACGGAGCAAAUUGAGAGAAUUCAGAAACUUCAGAGCGACAUGAUAGCAAACAUUAAACUUAUUACACCCAACUACCGUCCAGCCAAAGAUCUUCAGAGACAAGUACAGCGGUCUAAAAGAGGUGAGCAUGUCUUCAACAACACAAUUCUUACAUUUCAUUCUAAGUUAUUGUUAAAAAACCUGCCAGAUGCACUCACACUGUCUAUUAAUGAUCUGUCUGAGUACAGGAGGCUCAUGGAGGUUACUUCAAGAUUGUGGAUCAAUUCGCCAAAGCAAAGUGGAUCGAUAAUGUGAUAAAGAAAGGUCGCUUUCAGGUGUUUUUUCUAAUACUUUGUAUUCCACUACUGUUAUUUCAUUCAUAAAUAAGUAAAAAAAAAUUAAAACAAAAAAACCCCCACCACGCUCAUUUUCUGAAUCGCAACGCGCAUGCGCCAUCACUUCAAUCUCACUCUGCCCCGAAUGCGCCAUCACUUCAAUCUCACUCUGCGUUAUCCUUUAAUGCUCCAUUAUCCACGCUCUUUAAUCAGUCACCAAAUAACUCCUAUAAGAAGUAUUUAUCAUAAGGGGAAAUAUUGGGGUGAUAUCAGGGUCAACUGAACUUGAUGGAACACUGUUCCUGAAAAUAAUCUGUGGAGCUGAAACUUAAAACGCUGAAACUAUGAGCUACCUAAAUACGUCCUUAUGUAUUCUUAUAUUUGUACUGAGAUGCCAGCCACAAAACAUGCUAUUAUUUAAAGUGGUUUGUUCGGAGACUCUCCAGUUCGAUUUCUGUGUUUCAGUCAGCACCUUAAGCAUUUGAAACAAUGUUCUGUUCAUCCGCUCCACUUGGAGAGCGGAGUCAUUGAAGAUGAGGUUUUCCCUGACUUUGACGUGGUGGCAUAUGCUUGAACAAAACGGGUGAAAUGGUCAACAAUGACGAGGAUGUACCCGUUUCCACCUUUGAUGCGAUGAUCGAUGCCACUGAACAGAUCUGCAGUUUUGUCUUUCAGUAGUAAUAACUCUGACAUCCCGUUGUCUUCUAGCUCUGCCACUUCCUCUCUUUCAAGGUGCUUCAGAAUGUGAGUCACCUAUGAGAUGCGUGAUUUUCCUUUAUCAUCUGCUCUUUGUACGUCUGAUAUGUUCAAAAAGUCACAGAUUCCCAGUAAACUGUCUCUACUCACGGUGUGCAACACUCCUACCUCUUCCUGUAGCUCUUCCAGCACUGACAUGUUGACAGUGCAGGCCUUUAACUGUGUAGGAGUUGAUUCUGAACUGGUGGGUCUCUACUGUCCUCCAUGAUCUCUAACUGGCCUCAGGAACCGUGUACUCCACCACCAACUUCCAGCUCUCCUUAAACAGCAACACGUGCCCCCCUGCAGCCUGCCCGGUGUAUUAGGGGGAUUUAGCUGGUGCAGAAUUCAAUGUACAGGCUGUGGACACUGGACAUCUGAGCAGCAAUCCCAGCGGUGCCUCCAAAAUGUUGUCCCCGUCUAUAUAGAGGAGAAAUGAGUCACAAGCAUGACGGUCCGUGUUACUUCCACCAGAGCUUUACUCGAAUGGAAAAUUACCGCUUUUCCUCCAGGUAUGUGGGCUGAGACUAAAGUAAUCGAUCCCAGAGUGCGGAGAUCAGACCAUCCUAAUGGAUGACUGAUCAGCGUUAUACUCGCUUGGAUCAUCGAUGCACUAACACAUAAAAAUGGAAUGACAGCGAAAAAAACACUCUUUUCACUCUCUUUUUUUCAUUUAACUAUCUAACUUGUUACACUCACACACACACGACCAUUGUCCACACACACA
Ictalurus punctatus (channel catfish) is the source of this 2258-nucleotide long non-coding RNA. Lineage: Eukaryota; Metazoa; Chordata; Actinopteri; Siluriformes; Ictaluridae. The record is from Ensembl.